AGCAGCAGCCGCGGUAAUACGUAGGUCCCGAGCGUUGUCCGGAUUUAUUGGGCGUAAAGGGAGCGCAGGCGGUUUAGUAAGUCUGAAGUUAAAGGCAUUGGCUCAACCAAUGUAUGCUUUGGAAACUGUUAGACUUGAGUGCAGAAGGGGAGAGUGGAAUUCCAUGUGUAGCGGUGAAAUGCGUAGAUAUAUGGAGCAACACCGGUGGCGAAAGCGGCUCUCUGGUCUGUCACUGACGCUGAGGCUCGAAAGCGUGGGUAGCGAACAGGAUUAGAUACCCCUGUAGUCCCUGUCUCUUAUACA
RNAcentral lists this ribosomal RNA (303 nucleotides) under uncultured bacterium. RNAcentral's name for it is "partial 16S ribosomal RNA". It matches the Rfam family "Bacterial small subunit ribosomal RNA", at positions 507 to 808 of the family's 1533-position model. The record is from RNAcentral.